GGGUGAAAUGAUGAUUAUAAUAUGUUUCCCUAUUGGUUUGAUCGCCGCAAUGAUGGCAAACAUAUUAGCUCUAUCUGAUCAAUC
Molecule: small nucleolar RNA, 84 nt
Organism: Hevea brasiliensis (rubber tree)
Lineage: Eukaryota; Viridiplantae; Streptophyta; Magnoliopsida; Malpighiales; Euphorbiaceae
Product: small nucleolar RNA Z102/R77
Exons: 1
Source: RefSeq, a predicted model, not a curated record